RNAcentral lists this unclassified non-coding RNA (230 nucleotides) under Hevea brasiliensis (rubber tree). The record is from RNAcentral. Lineage: Eukaryota; Viridiplantae; Streptophyta; Magnoliopsida; Malpighiales; Euphorbiaceae.
GUCAUAUAUUUGGUCGAUAGUCAUGCAAAAGCAACUUACAAGGCAAAGUACUAGCUUCUUUGUAAUCCAAUAAACAGUUGAGAUUAACACUGCUUAAUUUAGCUGACAGAAAGUGACUUAACCCGGAUUGGUUACCGAACAUUAUGUUCUUUACACCAGAGGUAAAUUGUGUUUAACUUCACAUCUCCCGCCAUUUUUUUGCAAUGGGAGAGCAAGAAUGAAGUCCCAAU